UACGUAGGGGGCAAGCGUUGUCCGGAUUUAUUGGGCGUAAAGAGCGUGUAGGCGGCCAAGCAGGUCCGCUGUGAAAACUCGAGGCUCAACCUCGAGACGUCGGUGGAAACCGUUUGGCUAGAGUCCGGAAGAGGAGAGUGGAAUUCCCGGUGUAGCGGUGAAAUGCGCAGAUAUCAGGAGGAACACCGGUGGCGAAGGCGGGUCUCUGGGCCAUAACUGACGCUGAGGAGCGAAAGCGUGGGGAGCGAACAGG
Molecule: ribosomal RNA, 253 nt
Filed under: uncultured bacterium
Lineage: Bacteria
Description: partial 16S ribosomal RNA
Rfam family: Bacterial small subunit ribosomal RNA
Source: RNAcentral